Molecule: ribosomal RNA, 253 nt
Filed under: uncultured bacterium
Lineage: Bacteria
Description: partial 16S ribosomal RNA
Rfam family: Bacterial small subunit ribosomal RNA
Source: RNAcentral
UACGGAGGGUGCAAGCGUUAUCCGGAUUCACUGGGUUUAAAGGGUGCGUAGGCGGGCAGGUAAGUCAGUGGUGAAAUCUCCGGGCUUAACCCGGAAACUGCCGUUGAUACUAUUUGUCUUGAAUAUUGUGGAGGUAAGCGGAAUAUGUCAUGUAGCGGUGAAAUGCUUAGAUAUGACAUAGAACACCAAUUGCGAAGGCAGCUUACUACACAACGAUUGACGCUGAGGCACGAAAGCGUGGGGAUCAAACAGG